CCUACGGGAGGCAGCAGUGAGGAAUAUUGGUCAAUGGGAGAGAUCCUGAACCAGCCAAGCCGCGUGAGGGAAGACGGCCCUAUGGGUUGUAAACCUCUUUUGUCGGAGAACAAAACCCGGGACGUGUCCCGGACUGCGUGUAUCCGAAGAAAAAGCAUCGGCUAACUCCGUGCCAGCAGCCGCGGUAAUACGGAGGAUGCGAGCGUUAUCCGGAUUUAUUGGGUUUAAAGGGUGCGUAGGCGGGACCUUAAGUCAGCGGUAAAAUUGCGGUGCUCAACGCCGUAGAGCCGUUGAAACUGGGGCUCUUGAGUGAGCGAGAAGUAUGCGGAAUGCGUGGUGUAGCGGUGAAAUGCUUAGAUAUGACGAAGAACCCCGAUUGCGAAGGCAGCUUGCUGCAGCGGAACUGACGCUGAUGCUCGAAAGCGCGGGUAUCGAACAGGAUUAGAUACCCCUGUAGUC
Molecule: ribosomal RNA, 459 nt
Filed under: uncultured bacterium
Lineage: Bacteria
Description: partial 16S ribosomal RNA
Rfam family: Bacterial small subunit ribosomal RNA
Source: RNAcentral